This 993-nucleotide ribosomal RNA is filed under the name Zunongwangia sp. RNAcentral describes it as "bacterial SSU rRNA". It matches the Rfam family "Bacterial small subunit ribosomal RNA", at positions 59 to 1049 of the family's 1533-position model. Lineage: Bacteria; Pseudomonadati; Bacteroidota; Flavobacteriia; Flavobacteriales; Flavobacteriaceae. The record is from RNAcentral.
CAGUCGAGGGGUAACAGGGAGUGCUUGCACUCUGCUGACGACCGGCGCACGGGUGCGUAACGCGUAUGCAAUCUACCUCUUACUGAGGGAUAGCCCAUGGAAACGUGGAUUAAUACCUCAUAGUAUUAUAGACUGGCCUCAGUUUAUGAUUAAAGGUUACGGUAAGAGAUGAGCAUGCGUCCUAUUAGCUAGAUGGUAAGGUAACGGCUUACCAUGGCUACGAUAGGUAGGGGUCCUGAGAGGGAGAUCCCCCACACUGGUACUGAGACACGGACCAGACUCCUACGGGAGGCAGCAGUGAGGAAUAUUGGACAAUGGGCGAGAGCCUGAUCCAGCCAUGCCGCGUGCAGGAAGACGGCCCUAUGGGUUGUAAACUGCUUUUACAGAGGAAGAACCCUCCUUACGUGUAAGGAGCUGACGGUACUCUAUGAAUAAGGAUCGGCUAACUCCGUGCCAGCAGCCGCGGUAAUACGGAGGAUCCAAGCGUUAUCCGGAAUCAUUGGGUUUAAAGGGUCCGUAGGCGGGUCUAUAAGUCAGUGGUGAAAGUCUGCAGCUUAACUGUAGAACUGCCAUUGAUACUGUAGACCUUGAAUUAGUAUGAAGUGGUUAGAAUGUGUAGUGUAGCGGUGAAAUGCAUAGAUAUUACACAGAAUACCGAUUGCGAAGGCAGAUCACUAAUACUAUAUUGACGCUGAUGGACGAAAGCGUAGGUAGCGAACAGGAUUAGAUACCCUGGUAGUCUACGCCGUAAACGAUGGUUACUAGCUGUCCGGCCUAAUUGAGGGCUGGGUGGUUAAGCGAAAGUGAUAAGUAACCCACCUGGGGAGUACGUUCGCAAGAAUGAAACUCAAAGGAAUUGACGGGGGCCCGCACAAGCGGUGGAGCAUGUGGUUUAAUUCGAUGAUACGCGAGGAACCUUACCAGGGCUUAAAUGCAGUCUGACGUAUCUGGAAACAGAUAUUUCUUCGGACAGAUUGCAAGGUGCUGCAUGGU